UCCCUGGUAGUCUAGUGGUUAGGAUGCAGUGCUUUCACUGCUGCAGCCCUGGUUCAACCCCUGCUCUGGGAA
This 72-nucleotide transfer RNA is filed under the name Sus scrofa (pig). It matches the Rfam family "tRNA". From Rfam's summary of the family: Transfer RNA (tRNA) molecules are approximately 80 nucleotides in length. Their secondary structure includes four short double-helical elements and three loops (D, anti-codon, and T loops). Further hydrogen bonds mediate the characteristic L-shaped molecular structure. tRNAs have two regions of fundamental functional importance: the anti-codon, which is responsible for specific mRNA codon recognition, and the 3' end, to which the tRNAs corresponding amino acid is attached (by aminoacyl-tRNA synthetases). tRNAs cope with the degeneracy of the genetic code in two manners: having more than one tRNA (with a specific anti-codon) for a particular amino acid; and 'wobble' base-pairing, i.e. permitting non-standard base-pairing at the 3rd anti-codon position. The record is from Rfam by way of RNAcentral. Lineage: Eukaryota; Metazoa; Chordata; Mammalia; Artiodactyla; Suidae.